Molecule: ribosomal RNA, 115 nt
Filed under: Danio rerio (zebrafish)
Lineage: Eukaryota; Metazoa; Chordata; Actinopteri; Cypriniformes; Danionidae
Source: RNAcentral
GCCGGCAGCUCGCUCUCUGCAACUUUCACAUGGUCGCCCACUGAAGCUGAGCAUGGCUGAUCCUGGUCAGUGUGUGGAUGGGAGACCACAUGGGAAAGCUGGGUUGCUGUUGGCA